GAUGAACGCUGGCGGCGUGCCUAAUACAUGCAAGUCGAGCGAACAGACGAGGAGCUUGCUCCUCUGACGUUAGCGGCGGACGGGUGAGUAACACGUGGAUAACCUACCUAUAAGACUGGGAUAACUUCGGGAAACCGGAGCUAAUACCGGAUAAUAUAUUGAACCGCAUGGUUCAAUAGUGAAAGACGGUUUUGCUGUCACUUAUAGAUGGAUCCGCGCCGCAUUAGCUAGUUGGUAAGGUAACGGCUUACCAAGGCAACGAUGCGUAGCCGACCUGAGAGUGAUCGCGCCCACUCUGACUGAGACACGCUCCACACUCCCAUGCGAGGCACCGGUGUGGAAUCUUUCGCAAUGGGCGCAAACGUGUCGCGGCACCACGCCGCGUGAGAGAUGGAGCUCUGCGUCUUAAAACUCUCUGUUAUUGGAAAAACAAAUGUGUAAGAGACAAUACGCGCGUCGACGCGGUCCAAACUGAGAGCCCCGCGGAACACCGCG
This 495-nucleotide ribosomal RNA is filed under the name uncultured bacterium. RNAcentral describes it as "partial 16S ribosomal RNA". It matches the Rfam family "Bacterial small subunit ribosomal RNA", at positions 28 to 507 of the family's 1533-position model. The record is from RNAcentral.